GAAUGUGGCAGGCAAACAACCCAUGUCUAUGUCCUAAUCAACAAAUUUCGGAUCCAUUUCAGUGGUUUAAGGGUACCUAUCCCAUAAAAGUUUUUGAUUCAUUGGAUUAUAAAAACGCAUUUCCAUGAACUGGGCUCCUUAUCGUCACGCCCACCACACGUAGCCACUCCAGCUGCGAGUUCACUUCAUAAGAGUGAACAAGCGAACCAGUGAGGGAGAGAGGCAGAGACACGCACAGAUACUGUGUGGGUUUUGGUCGCCAUGGACGAAAAACAGUCGAGUAAAACUAGGGGGAAGCCCAUCAAAUGCAGAGCUGCGGUUGUUCGCCAACCAGGAGAGCCAUUGGUGAUCGAGGAGAUCAUGGUGGCGCCGCCGGUGGCUCGUGAGGUUCGGGUUCGAAUCAUAUGCACCUCUCCCAGUCGCACCGAUAUUUCUUUCUGGGAAAUGAAGGAUGAGCCGGCAAAUUUUCCAAGAAGAGAAUUCUUGGUCACGAAGCUAUGGGCAUAUUAAAAGGUGGGACACUUGGUGAUAAGCAGUGGCACUUAUAUUGAUAUGCAGAGACGAGAACAUGUGCUUCACACGUGAGCAACCUUUGGCCUUCUGACUCUUGGUAUAACAACUGCUGGAUCAAAGACACGUGCUGCCAUCUCUUGAGUACAUAUAUAUAUGCCUCUUAGCCUUGUUAGGGUUACGGGAUUUUACACUUUGAGCAAUUUGUUUUCUACCGUUUUGAGUGAGACAAGAGAGCUUUGUACAGAAUGAGAGAUAAGCUAGGGUUUUACUGAGGGAGAAAUGAAAGCUGUGUUAAGGCUUGUAUUUGGCCCAGUAUUAGCUUGAUCUGUGUAUAUACAUUGGCUUUUGAAGAUUGCUCAAUAAAGAAUGAUCUCUGAGGCUGUUCCUGCUGUGGAUGUAGGUCAUUGGGGCCGAACCACGUAA
RNA transcript from Juglans regia (Persian walnut), 936 nucleotides. It is a transcript of the gene named alcohol dehydrogenase-like 7, with no coding region annotated. The transcript has 4 exons. Lineage: Eukaryota; Viridiplantae; Streptophyta; Magnoliopsida; Fagales; Juglandaceae. The record is from RefSeq and is a predicted model, not a curated record.